CAGUCGCCACGGUAAUACCGAGGGUGCAAGCGUUAAUCGGAAUUACUGGGCGUAAAGCGCGCGUAGGUGGUUUGUUAAGUUGGAUGUGAAAUCCCCGGGCUCAACCUGGGAACUGCAUCCAAAACUGGCAAGCUAGAGUAUGGUAGAGGGUGGUGGAAUUUCCUGUGUAGCGGUGAAAUGCGUAGAUAUAGGAAGGAACACCAGUGGCGAAGGCGACCACCUGGACUGAUACUGACACUGAGGUGCGAAAGCGUGGGGAGCAAACAGGAUUAGAGACCCCCGUAGUCCCUGUCUCUUAUAA
Molecule: ribosomal RNA, 301 nt
Filed under: uncultured bacterium
Lineage: Bacteria
Description: partial 16S ribosomal RNA
Rfam family: Bacterial small subunit ribosomal RNA
Source: RNAcentral